AAAAUCACUAUUAUAAAAAAUGCCUAGAUAUAUCUAAAUGUAGCCAAGGGUCACAAGAGGAGAUGGAUAAUUCUAAAUAAGCUAAAAGUUAGCCAAAAGUCUUGUAAGUCGCUUUGAUAAAAGCAUCUGGUAAAUGCAUAAAUGUAAAGUGUAAAUGUAAAAGUAGCCACAAACGAUUAAUGAUUAAUCUCUACUUUCUUCUUUUUUAGAUUAAUAGCUUAUGUGUUUCUGAAAAUGUAACAAAAAAAAUAACUUAAAUGUUUUCAGGAAAUAGGCUUAACGAAAGAAAUAAAACAGGGAAAUUUAGCUAGGAAGUAGGUUAAACGGGCAAAAUAUUUUAUUGGAAAAGCUGUUGCAAAUAUUGUUUAAAUCUAAGCACCAUGAUAUCAAAAGUUACCAAAACAAAUCAAAAACUCUUUAGAAAUGGAUACACAUUGAUGAGAAACCAUGGCAAAAAUAACUGAAAAGGUAAUUUAGCUGUAGCUUGGAAUGAUUGUGAAUACAUCAAAAGUAGCUAAAAGUAAUCGAAACAUAGUAAAACUGGCAAUUAUGAUCCAAAAUUAAGUAAAAAUGCUGAAUAUUUUUCAUAAACACAUCACAGAAGAACCUAUACAAAAUUAUCAACAAAUGCAGAAAAAAAAAUACUCAAAGUGGAAAUUAUAGCAUAAGCUAGAGCAAAACCUAUAGUUAGCCAAAGGUUGUCACAAAAUUACUUUUUUAGUUUAAAAAUUAUUAACCGAAGAAAAAAGUCAAAGUUGACCCUCAAAUAGCUUGAAGUAGCCGAGAGGUGUUUUAUAAAAUAACAAUAAAAAAAGAAAAUAAAAGAGGAAAAACUUGGGCAAGAGUAAAAUUAAAAGUUAGUACUGGCACCUAAAACUGACUAAAACGAACUCUGAAAUAUUCUAAAUUUGCCCCUAAAAGUCAUUUGAAAUACCACUGAACCAAUUGCACUGAGGCAAAUAUGCCACUAUGAACAUGCACUUUUUAACCUGUUGUGUACAGUUUAAAUGAAACCAAAAACAAAGUGGCUUCUGACUGUAGUGUUUCACUCCAUUGUGGCAUUCUAAAGUGUUUCUAUUUAAAAAAGAAAACUUGUAUAACCUUUGUCUUAGCGUUUGUUUUUCUUUCUCUUUAUAAAACACGGGGUUUUUUUUUGCAUUUCAGUUUUUCGUUUGUUGUCAUUCUGUCUUCUGAGUCACACGGUGUGACAUGAAAAAUAUUUUUAGUGAAUUAUCAGUAUACGUGGUUUCAUUUUACAAAAAUCGAGACAACCUUCGACUCAAAAUGAAGUAAAACAUAGAACGGACGACUAUUUUCUUCCGUUAUUUCGAGGGUCAGAUAAGUUCACACAAACAAAUAGUGCUUUAAACUCGGCGGAGGCAGCAGCAGAAGAGGAGGGUGGUGAGGGGGCAUUUAAUAACGUCUGUUAAGCACCAUUCUGCUUCUCUACAUAUUAAAAAGUGCGACGUUUUUUUGUUUUCUCUUUCUGCUGUUUUUCUGUUUAUAAAAAAAAUAAAGCAGAGCGACCUCGGGGUCCGCUGAAAGCCGUGUUGCUGCUUUUAAAACGGGGACUUCACCUCAGCUGAACCCGGCGCCUGUGUCUGCUUCGCGGCGGCAGCGGCCGCUCAGUCUGUUGCCUGUGUCCCCGUUGAACCGAAGCUGUAGCCGGCGAUGAGAAGCAGCGAGGGGCGGGGGAGGGACGGAGGGGAGGACGGCGACACUUACCUCAUUUGUCCCUGCUAUAAGUGCACUACGAAACAGUCUCUCGGCUCAAAUAUUCACCGUGAGCUUGUUGUCUACCCCUCCGUCCACCGCUACUGUCGCUUUGUGUGAUUUUCUGCUGUUUUUCCCUGCUCUGAGAGCCCAGACAGACGCCGCGAAGGAAAUACAAAGAGGUGAAGUUGAACGAGCUGGAAGACGACUUGAACUUGACACCUGCUGUGAAUGAUGCAACCAUCCGGUCUUUAAAUUUGUCGUUGAUUUGUCCUUUGUCUCCGGGGCAGGUCAAAGAGGACAGAAGACAACGCGGCUCCCCCAGGCCUGGAUGUAAACUCAUGUGAAGAGGAUAUGUGGACAUACUGUGAGUGCAGCUACAGAGAGCUCCGCCACAAAGAUCGGCUCCAGAUCCUCCGGCUCUUUCAGGCCUGCAGAGCCCGGAGCUGCGGUGUGGCGUUCCACCUCGGAGACUCAGAGGGUGUCACUGCGUAAAAAAGUCGUCCCUCCGUGGAGCCAGUGUCCAGAUUCUGCUUAAAUAUUAAGCUUCAUCCAGCGACGUGUAACAAACGGCCGCCCGACGUGUCUGCAUCAGCUCAUCACAGUCAAACAAAGAAACCCAAGGAGAGGAGACGCAAUGGAGCGUCACGAGAGGAGGUGAUGAGGUGAAGCACGAGUCCCGCACGAAGUAUUACAGACUACAUGUAAAUACACAGUAUUAGAAGUACAUGUCAAAUUACUUUAAUUUACCAAACUGCUGCAGAGGAGAUACAAAAAAAAAAAACACACGUAAAGAAAACAAUCAGCAAGGAAAGUGUGAAAACAAAAAAAAACGUUUUUACUUUUAUACGUAUGAAUUAUAAAGAUGUUCAUGUUCAGUUUUUAUAGUUUUUUUUUUCUUCCAUGUGUUUUUCUGAGUCAGGAAAGUGUGAAGAUUUGUUGUCUUGACCUUCUGUUUCCCGGCAGAUCGAUUGUUUACCGUGUGGCAUAGGCGCCCCCUGCAGGAGAUUUACUGUCCUUUGGGGUGAGGUAGUAGGUUGUAUAGUUUUAGGGUCAUACCCAAGCUGUCAGAUGACUAUACAACUUACUGUCUUUCCUGAAGCGACCGUGUUGGCGUCGCUGAAGUCACUCUCACAAAUGUGACAAAAAUAUAAUAAUUAUUAUGUUCUUUAUGUUGGUAUUGUUGUUGUUGUUGUAUAUAUGUAAAUAAAUGGAAUUUACCUUUAAUUAAGAUCAAGUACAUUUGAGUGCCUUCACUUCAUUUAUUGGUAAAAAAAUACUAGAACCUCCUUAAAGAAAAAUACUAAUCAUUUUGUGCUGUCUUUGUUUGUAUUUCAGUGAUUAGAUGAGAUGAGUAUGAAGUAAAAGUGAGUACAUUUGUAGUAGUAUUUGUAGUUAAUGUAUCUGAAUAAAUGUAUGUUUUGUACUUGACCACGUAUCAGGGGCUGCUGGGCUUUAAAAGUACUCUGAGCACUUGUUUGAGAGUUGUUUGUCCUGUUGUGA
Long non-coding RNA from Cynoglossus semilaevis (tongue sole), 3216 nucleotides. RefSeq lists it as uncharacterized. Lineage: Eukaryota; Metazoa; Chordata; Actinopteri; Pleuronectiformes; Cynoglossidae. The record is from RefSeq and is a predicted model, not a curated record. The transcript is spliced from 6 exons.